UCCCUGUAGGACUAGUGGUUAGGCCACAGUGCUAUCACUGCGGCGGCCCAGGUUCAAUUCUUGGCCAGGGAA
RNAcentral lists this transfer RNA (72 nucleotides) under Pangasianodon hypophthalmus (striped catfish). RNAcentral's name for it is "tRNA-Asp". Lineage: Eukaryota; Metazoa; Chordata; Actinopteri; Siluriformes; Pangasiidae. The record is from RNAcentral.